UCUCCGUUGGUGAACCAGCGGAGGGAUCAUUACCGAGUUUACAACUCCCAAACCCAAUGUGAACCAUACCAAACUGUUGCCUCGGCGGGGUCACGCCCCGGGUGCGUCGCAGCCCCGGAACCAGGCGCCCGCCGGAGGGACCAACCAAACUCUUUCUGUAGUCCCCUCGCGGACGUUAUUUUUACAGCUCUGAGCAAAAAUUCAAAAUGAAUCAAAACUUUCAACAACGGAUCUCUUGGUUCUGGCAUCGAUGAAGAAUGCAGC
RNAcentral lists this unclassified non-coding RNA (264 nucleotides) under plant metagenome. Its description in RNAcentral is "partial contains small subunit ribosomal RNA, internal transcribed spacer 1, and 5.8S ribosomal RNA". The stretch from base 216 to 264 matches the Rfam family "5.8S ribosomal RNA", at positions 1 to 49 of the family's 154-position model. The record is from RNAcentral.